This is an RNA transcript of Carya illinoinensis, 1785 nucleotides long. It is a transcript of the gene named protein MRG2-like, with no coding region annotated. The record is from RefSeq and is a predicted model, not a curated record. The transcript is spliced from 11 exons. NCBI's taxonomy places the organism in Eukaryota, Viridiplantae, Streptophyta, Magnoliopsida, Fagales, Juglandaceae.
UAGAUUGCUUUUACGAAAACAAUCUCUCUUUAUGAACUUUACCAAACAUGACCAAAGCAUUUCACGAAGCCAUUAACCAGUUUGAAGUCAUUUUAAUCCCAAAUCACUGAUUAUUAAUUUUUCUACCUUCAAAUCCUCAAACAAUUUCAGGCCUAUCCCAAAAAAGAAAAAAGUUUGUUAGGGACGACGACAUCAUCCCGUGAUGCUUUUUAAAAAACCAUAGUGAAAUGAUGAGUCAACUUCGACAAGUUAGCGAUUAAUUCGAACAAAGGCGGUGCGUUUAGACAAAGCACAGAAAACACCCAGAAUUUCUCAGUUCCUUGGGCGUCCUCGCAAUCAAACUUUGUUCAAGAAUCCCGUAGGAUCGAUCGGAUAUAUUUUCUAUAUCGACCGCCGAAAUGGGAAGCUCAAAGACUGGGGCUACUGAUUCCUCCGCCACCGAGUCCGACAUCACCAAGACCGAGACCGACAUGGAAAUUGACGGCGACGACGGCGAUUGCCCUCCUGACACUGAUUCCUGCCCCUUCUCAGAAGGAGAAAAGGUCCUUGCUUUCCAUAGCGUCCGCAUAUACGAAGCCAAGGUGACAAAGAUUGAAUACCAGAUGGAGUGGAGGUUUUUUGUUCAUUAUUCUGGAUGGAGCAAAAAAUGGGAUGAAUGGGUAGGUGUGGAUCGCCUGAUGAAGUUUACUGAGGAAAAUGUGCAGAAACAGCAGGCCCUCAAUAAGAAGCAAUCAUUUGAGAAGAAUACACGUGCAUCACUGAUUAAACCAAAAAGUUCCCACAUGGCAAGAGCCAAGAAGCGAAAGACUGACCUUGUUAGUAAGGAGGAUGGCAAUUUACUCUUGGACAGGCUGGUGAACAUUCAACUCCCACCUCCGCUAAAGAAACAAUUGGUUGACGAUUGUGAAUUUAUUACUCAUUUAGGCAAGCUUGUUAAACUUCCACGUACCCCAAAUGUUGAUGACAUAUUGAGGAAGUAUCUGGAUUAUAGGAUGAAGAAGGAUGGCUUAAUAGCUGAUUCUGUUGGAGAAGUUCUGAAAGGAUUACGUUGUUACUUCGACAAAGUAUUGCCAGUGAUGCUUCUAUACAAAAGUGAGCGUCAGCAAUAUGAUGAAGCAAUUUCAGAUGAUGUCUCUCCUUCAACUGUAUAUGGUGCUGAACAUCUUUUACGCCUUUUCGUUAAGUUGCCCGAGUUAUUGUACCAUGCCAACAUUGAAGAGGAGACAUUGAUGGAACUGCAGCAGAAAUUAAUUGACUUUCUCAAGUUUUUACAGAAGCAUCAGAGUACAUUUUUCCUCUCUACGUACCACGUACCAGAAGAUAUUGAAAUGAGCACCAACAAAUAAGAUGGGUUGGUUGUAAGUUUUCGGCAACAAACAUUGUACAUGGUACAUUAGUAAUACAGUUUUAGGAAAUGCCCAUCUGAAACAAGUUUUUGAAUCAGUUCAAGGGUGAGUUGCUUGGGGGAGACACCUUAGCCAGCAGUACUAAAGGAAUUCAGUUGACACAGGUAGAAGGUUGGAGCAAGAUCUUGGCUUGAAGAUGCACUUUCACUCCAAUUUCUAGUGAAACAUAGCGGAUACCAAAUGUUGGAGUGUCUAUAAGCUGAGAAAGGGAACCAUUGCUUUCAUAACCUACUUCUCAAAAUGUUAUGGUAUUGCUUUCAUAUGAUGGGAGUCAUUGCUUCAAAUUAGAGUAUUGCAUUUAUUGGUUCAAAUUUUAAUAGUAGGUAGAAUUUAUUAGAUGCCAUUGACUAGAUUCUAGUAAGUUCAACUUUUCUACUAA